AUCCAUCUGACAAGUCCCAAAUAGAACGAAACGUGCGUUUUAGAU
RNAcentral lists this non-coding RNA (45 nucleotides) under Schistosoma margrebowiei. Lineage: Eukaryota; Metazoa; Platyhelminthes; Trematoda; Strigeidida; Schistosomatidae. The record is from RNAcentral.